RNAcentral lists this ribosomal RNA (492 nucleotides) under uncultured bacterium. RNAcentral describes it as "partial 16S ribosomal RNA". It matches the Rfam family "Bacterial small subunit ribosomal RNA", at positions 29 to 507 of the family's 1533-position model. The record is from RNAcentral.
AGUGAACGCUGGCGGUAGGCCUAACACAUGCAAGUCGAACGGCAGCACAGUAAGAGCUUGCUCUUACGGGUGGCGAGUGGCGGACGGGUGAGGAAUACAUCGGAAUCUACUUUUUCGUGGGGGAUAACGUAGGGAAACUUACGCUAAUACCGCAUACGACCUACGGGUGAAAGCAGGGGAUCUUCGGACCUUGCGCGAUUGAAUGAGCCGAUGUCGGAUUAGCUAGUUGGCGGGGUAAAGGCCCACCAAGGCGACGAUCCGUAGCUGGUCUGAGGGGAUGAUCAGCCACACUGGAACUGAGACACGGUCCAGACUCCUAUGGGAGGCAGCAGUGGGGAAUAUUGGACAAUGGGCGCAAGCCUGAUCCAGCCAUACCGCGUGGGUGAAGAAGGCCUUCGGGUUGUAAAGCCCUUUUGUUGGGAAAGAAAAGCAGCAGGUUAAUACCCCGCUGUUCUGACGGUACCCAAAGAAUAAGCACCGGCUAACUUCGUG